CCUGGUAACAGUGGAAGGCUGGUAACAGAGAAAGGCUGGUUACAGAGGCAGGCUGGUUAGAAGUAUAGGAAAGCGUGGAGCAGGUUAUAUUUUUAGGAGCAGGUUUGAAGGUAAAUCUGGAGCAGGUUGGUCUGAAGCAUGUUCAGAGGAGCCAGGAUAUGAGGUGUUUCUGGUAAAUCACCAACUUCACUGUAAUGGCCAGUGGUAUUCUCGGGUGUGGCCUUUUGUAGGAUUUGUAAUUAGUCCUAGGCAGGUGAGGACUGAGGUGACUAGUGGCUAGGGAGGCCACUAGUGGUGGAGAGCUGUAACUUCUUUUAAAGGAACAUAAAUAAAUGAAGAUAAAACAUAGUUGUCAGGAUAGAAUCCUGACAGUACCUUUAAAAAAGAAGAUAAAGGUAUCGAAAGGGGGGUGGCUCUAAGAAAAUAUAAAAUUUUGGGUAGGAGAGUCAUUUUCAUCGAAUUAACCCUACCUAAUCAUGAAAUUUCCAGACUACACCAUCUCUCAGGAUCGUUCCUAAAGUCUGACCAGACCUUACCCAUGUUAUAAGAAUGCAUCUUGGACAGGUUCUUGCAUAGGUUAAUGCACAGAUAAGAGAUAUAAGAGUUCCUCCAAUUGAAGUCAAACCGACCUUUCAAAGUGUCUAAAUCAUACCAAAGUAUGUAGAAAGAGAGAGCUUGAGUUUUGGCUGUAUUCAAUUUAUGGAAAGAAAUUUUGUCGAAUUCCUGCAGAAUCUACAUCAACCGAGUUAGUGAAGUCAUUGGAUUUUUAAGCAAUAACAUGAUGUCAUCUGCAAAAAGGCCUAUUUUAUGUUCCUUACCCCCUACUGCAAUACCUUUAAAAUCUGCGCUGCAGCGUAUCAUAUCAGCCAGGGUCUCCAUUACCAGCACAAACAGGAGUGUAGACAAUGGGCAAUGGGUUUUCAGAAACAAAACCAGUCACAGAUACUCUAGCAGUUGGGUGACAGUAUAGUGCAAACACAGCCCUGAUGAAGGGGUCUGGGAUGUUGAAAUGUGACAGAACUUCCCUCAGGUAAUCCCAAUAGAUCCUAUUGAAUGCCUUCUCUGCAUCCAAACAGACAAGCAAAGGAGGUGUGCGAGUAGAUUUAAGAUGAUUAAUCAAAUUGAUGAAACGCCUGGUGCCAUCAGGAGCCUGACAGUUUAUAAUGAAACCAACCUGGUCUUUGUCGGUUAGGGAAGGAAGAAGUCUAUUUGCUAACAUUUUUGAAUAAAUCUUUGUGUCAUUAUUAAUUAAUGAAAUGGGACAAGAAUUUGAACAGACAUUAGGUGUUUUACCAGGUCUAGGUAACGUGACUAUUUGUGCACAAAGCCUCCC
Molecule: non-coding RNA, 1333 nt
Organism: Pelobates cultripes (western spadefoot toad)
Lineage: Eukaryota; Metazoa; Chordata; Amphibia; Anura; Pelobatidae
Source: the annotation of a GenBank genome assembly